Molecule: unclassified non-coding RNA, 1762 nt
Filed under: uncultured fungus
Lineage: Eukaryota; Fungi
Description: sequence contains 18S rRNA gene, ITS1, 5.8S rRNA gene, ITS2, 28S rRNA gene
Rfam family: Eukaryotic large subunit ribosomal RNA (bases 802-1762)
Source: RNAcentral
GGAAGGAUCAUUAACAAAUUCCAAAACACGUCUUUUGACCCACUGAACUCUUUCUUUUUUUUUCAAUCGGAUUCUCAUGGAUAGCAGCAGCAGCAGCAGCAGCAGCGAUACAUGGUUCCGUGAGCGAAAGGGGGGGGAGUAGAGGUUGGGUCAAGGUGGUGUAGUGUAGGUUACUACAACUACACCCCCCCACACAAGACAAACACAAACAUUACAUUUAUUGACAACACAUGGAGAACAAACGAAUUAUAACAUGAUCGUUGAAACAACUUUUAACAAUGGAUCUCUCGGCUCUUGCAACGAUGAAGAACGCAGCGAACUGCGAAACGUGAUGUGAACUGCACUCUUCGUGAAUCAUCCAAUCUUUGAACGCACUUUGCACCUAGUGGCUUUUGUCAUGAGGUAUACUUGUUUGAGUAUCAAAAACGACCUCACUUCCCUUUCGGGGCGAAGUGGAUUUGAGAGAUUCGAGGAACGAUGUCAUGGUGGUGGUACACACACACACUUGGUGUGUGUACUGUGCGCUUGCAUGGCGAGUCGUCUCUUUAAAUGAGCUGGUCCAUUUGUGGAAGGUCUCCGUCUGGAACCUGACAGACUAUUGGGAUAACAGCAUCCUAACGAUCGUCUGUUGUUGGUUCAUGAUGCGGCGUUGACUGACCUUGACCACCCCCACCUGGAAGAAGCAUGGAUUCUCUCUCAUCUUUCAAGAUGAAUAGAUCUCUCUAUGUGACUUUACUAGCGUUGUUAGUUAGUUAGUUCAAUACCUUUUUAUCGAGAGGUGUCGUCUCAUUAAUUGUGAUAUGAUCUCAAAUCAAGUAAGGAUACCCGCUGAACUUAAGCAUAUCAGUAAGCGGAGGAAAAGAAACUAACAAGGAUUCCCUGAGUAACGGCGAGUGAAACGGGAUGAGCUCAAAUUUAAAAUCUGUCACCCUUGGGUGUCCGAAUUGUCAUUGAGAGGGUCUUCUUUUGAUGAAGGUGAUGGUCAAAGUUCUCUGGAAAGGGACAACAAAGAGGGUGACAUUCCCGUUUGGAUCAUGACUGGAGUCAGUUAGAAAGGAGGCUCAAAGAGUCGGAUUGUUUGGGAAUGCAGUCCAAAAUGGGUGGUACAUUUCAUCUAAAGCUAAAUAUAUGCAAGAGACCGAUAGCGAACAAGUACCGUGAGGGAAAGAUGAAAAGAACUUUGAAAAGAGAGUUAAAUAGUACGUGAAAUUGUUAAAAGGGAAACGAUUGAGACCAGUGAUGUGGCGGUCCUUGAGCAUACCUUUCGGGGUGUGUGUUUGGGCUUGUCACGCGUCGACGCUCCUUUUGGGCUUUGGAAAAGACAGAGGGAAAUGUGGCUCCACCUUUGGGUGGCUGCUUUAUAGUCCCUUUGGGAUACAAGGUCGUUCGGGAGGAGACAGGUAGGGUCGCAAGGCUCACGUCGACGAAAUGGUCUUAAACGACCCGUCUUGAAACACGGACCAAGGAGUCUAACAACUAUGCGAGUAUUUGAGUGGCAAACUCGAGUGCGCAAAGAAACUGAACGCGUGGGAUUUGUCUUCUUAUGUGGGAGGGCAAUGCACCAUGGCCAGUCCUUGUCUUUGACUUGGAUUGCGCUAGAGCAUAUCUGUUGGGACCCGAAAGAUGGUGAACUAUGCCUGAAUAGGGUGAAGCCAGGGGAAACUCUGGUGGAGGCUCGUAGACAUUCUGACGUGCAAAUCGAUGUUCAAAUUUGGGUAUAGGGGCGAAAGACUAAUCGAACCAUCUAGUAGCUGGUUCCCUC